GAUGAACGCUGGCGGCGUGCCUAAUACAUGCCAGUCGAGCGAACAGACGAGGAGCUUGCUCCUCUGACGUUAGCGGCGGACGGGUGAGUAACACGUGGAUAACCUACCUAUAAGACUGGGAUAACUUCGGGAAACCGGAGCUAAUACCGGAUAAUAUAUUGAACCGCAUGGUUCAAUAGUGAAAGACGGUUUUGCUGUCACUUAUAGAUGGAUCCGCGCCGCAUUAGCUAGUUGGUAAGGUAACGGCUUACCAAGGCAACGAUGCGUAGCCGACCUGAGAGGGGGAUCGGCCACACUGGAACUGAGACACGGUCCAGACUCCUACGGGAGGCAGCAGUAGGGAAUCUUCCGCAAUGGGCGAAAGCCUGACGGAGCAACGCCACGUGAGUGAUGAAGGUCUUCGGAUCGUAAAACUCUGUUAUUAGGGAAGAACAAAUGUGUAAGUAACUAUGCACGUCUUGACGGUACCUAAUCAGAAAGCCACGGCUAACUACGUG
This 497-nucleotide ribosomal RNA is filed under the name uncultured bacterium. Its description in RNAcentral is "partial 16S ribosomal RNA". It matches the Rfam family "Bacterial small subunit ribosomal RNA", at positions 28 to 507 of the family's 1533-position model. The record is from RNAcentral.